CGUAGGGUGCGAGCGUUGUCCGGAAUUAUUGGGCGUAAAGAGCUCGUAGGCGGUCUGUCGCGUCGAUCGUGAAAACUUGGGGCUUAACCCUGAGCUUGCGGUCGAUACGGGCAUGACUGGAGUUCGGCAGGGGAGACUGGAAUUCCUGGUGUAGCGGUGAAAUGCGCAGAUAUCAGGAGGAACACCGGCGGCGAAGGCGGGUCUCUGGGCCGAUACUGACGCUGAGGAGCGAAAGCGUGGGGAGCAAACAGGAUUAGAUACCCUGGUAGUCCACGCCGUAAACGGUGGGCGCUAGGUGUGGGGGCCAUUCCACGGUCUCUGUGCCGUAGCUAACGCAUUAAGCGCCCCGCCUGGGGAGUACGGCCGCAAGGCUA
RNAcentral lists this ribosomal RNA (374 nucleotides) under uncultured organism. Its description in RNAcentral is "bacterial SSU rRNA". It matches the Rfam family "Bacterial small subunit ribosomal RNA", at positions 526 to 896 of the family's 1533-position model. The record is from RNAcentral.